This 4615-nucleotide unclassified non-coding RNA is filed under the name Hevea brasiliensis (rubber tree). Lineage: Eukaryota; Viridiplantae; Streptophyta; Magnoliopsida; Malpighiales; Euphorbiaceae. The record is from RNAcentral.
GUGCUUUGCAGUCUGCUGCAAGAAAAUUGAAAACAGAAAACAAAAACAGAGGGAAGAAAGACAGACAUGGGGGGCAGCGAUGGGAUCUUGGGGCGCAAAGAAGGUGAAGGAAUGAUAUCAGAAGCACGCAGAAGAAAGAAAUGGCUUAAGAGGCGAGAGAGAUGGCUUGUAAUACUUGGUGUGAUCCUUCACGCUGUCUAUAUGCUAAGUAUCUUCGAUAUUUACUUCAAGACCCCAAUUGUCCAUGGCAUGGAUCCUGUCAAACCUCGCUUCAAGGCCCCAGCGAAACGUCUUGUGCUCCUUGUUGCGGAUGGUUUACGUGCUGAUAAGUUUUUUGAGCCGGAUUCAGAGGGAAAUUACAGAGCUCCAUUUUUGAGGAGUAUAAUUAAAAACAAAGGCAGAUGGGGAGUUUCUCAUGCUCGACCCCCUACAGAAUCAAGGCCUGGACACGUUGCUAUAAUCGCUGGUUUUUAUGAGGACCCUAGUGCAGUCACAAAAGGCUGGAAAGCUAAUCCAGUUGAGUUUGAUUCAGUUUUUAACCGAAGCAGGCAUACAUUUUCUUAUGGUAGCCCUGAUAUUGUCCCAAUAUUCUGUGGCGCCUUGGAACACAGUACAUGGGAGACCUACCCUCAUGAAUUUGAAGACUUUGCAACUGAUGCUUCCUUUUUGGAUGAGUGGUCUUUUGAUCAAUUUCAGAGCCUUCUGAAUAGGUCCAAUGAAGACCCAAAGUUGAAGGAGUUACUUCUACAGGAUAAUCUUGUUAUAUUUCUGCAUCUACUUGGCUGUGAUUCAAACGGUCAUGCUCAUCGGCCCUUUUCAUCCAUCUAUCUCAAUAAUGUUAAGGUUGUAGACAACAUAGCUCAACAUGUUUAUGCUCUUCUUGAAGAUUAUUAUAAGGACAAUAGUACAGCAUAUAUAUUUACAGCUGAUCAUGGAAUGAGUGAUAAAGGUAGUCAUGGAGAUGGGCAUCCUUCAAAUACUGAUACUCCCCUUGUUGUUUGGGGAGCAGGUGUCAAAUAUCCCAAGCCAAUUUCUAGAGAUGGCCAUUCUGAUCAUGAUUUUCAUUUUGUUGAUGAACAUACCCAUGACAUGCCAACGCCAGUAGAUUGGGGCCUGAAUGGGAUUGAAAGGGUGGAUGUGAAUCAAGCUGAUAUUGCACCCCUCAUGUCUACGCUUCUUGGUUUACCAUGCCCUGUUAACUCAGUUGGAAAUUUACCACUUGGAUAUGUUGAUAUGAUUGAGGCAGAGGAAGUUGAAGCUGUGCUAGCUAAUACAAAGCAAAUCCUCAACCAGUUUCUUCGCAAAUCACAAAUAAAGCAGUCAAACUCAUUAUAUUUCAAGCCAUUUAAACCACUGAGUCAACAUUUCUCUCUGUUGGAACACAUUGAAUAUCUAAUAUCUGUAAGAGACUAUCAAAUUGCAAUGAGUCUGACCCAAAAGCUCAGAAGCUUGGCACUGCAAGGACUUCAUUACUUUCAAACGUAUGAUUGGCUGAUGCUGAUGACUGUAAUUACUCUUGGAUAUCUUGGUUGGAUGGUCUAUCUCAUUUUGCAUGUGCUUCAAUCUUAUACUUCACUGGCAGAAAAGAUAUUGAAGAUGGAGCAAGCUACAGAGCAGAAAAAUAAAAUUGGAAAAGUAAUUUCUAAGUGUAUCUGUUUGGAUGCCUGUUGAUGGGAGCAAUUUCUGUUCUAUUAUAUGUGGAGCAUUCACCUCCUCUAUACCACGCAUACUUUGCAAUGACAGUGUUUCUUUGGACCCAGAUACUCAGUGAAUGUCGGUUUGUAAAAGCAUUGUGGAGACAUUUAAGUGGGAAAAAGUUCAAUUAUGCCAUUAAACUUUUAGCUACCUGUGCCAUAUCAAUAAUAUUCCUAGAAUUCCUGGUGAAUAGUUUCACAGAGAGGAAACUCUACACCUGGUGCUUCUUAAUUGUGGGAAUUAUAGCUUCUCUUUAUCUUUUCAAAUCAAUUCGGUGGAGAUCUGGGAUACCAAUUUUCAUUUGUUUUGCCUGUUGGUGUCUGUCUGUUUUUACUUUGAUGCCAGCAGAAAUACCAGAUAAUAAUGAACUAGUAAUUGCAGGUGGAGUUAUAAUUGUCACAGUUGGAGCAGCAGCAAGGUGGCUAGAUCAACAUUCUGAAGGGAAUAAACAUUGGUCAAGUAUCUGUUAUCAUGAAACAGAUAAAUCCAGGCAUUCCAUGCUAUUUUACGUACAGGUUCUUUUAGUUGGAUUAUCAUCAAUUAUGGUGUCAUUGUCAACGUCUCACAGAACAGAGAAGCAAGAACUGCAUUCAAUACACCAGUUAAUAAAUUGGACUCUCGCGGGUAAUGCUUUUGGACUUUUAUUUUUUCAAAUUCUAUUUGUGUAUUUUCUGUAAAACCCACAAAUGUUGUAUGUAAGCUUUGAUUUUACUUCUAUCAUAUUAAACUAAUGGUAUACUUCCUACAGCUCAUUUUAAUCAUAGAAGUAUGUGAUACCAUUGUUUAGGGUUUUCUGGUCUGUGGUCACCAAGAAUAGAUCAUGCACUAUUCUUUGGGAAUUCCAAGCCCCAACUUAUGAGUUUGAUUGAGGAGUUAUUUUUCUUUUAUUUCGCAAAUUUGGGUGUUGAACCCAUAAUUAUCACCGAAGAUUUUCUUAGAUGUGCCAUCUAGACUAUGCAUAUUUGGUUGAAGAGUUCUUUAGUUUUGUUUGCCUAGUUCCCUUUCUUUUGGCUUUUAUAAAUGCUUCACUGCCAUACUUUGAGCAUUUUUAAGUGGAACUUCAUUUGUUUAUUAAUACUUGCUCCUUGUGAUUGUAUUGUUAUAGGUUUCUCAAUGGUUCUCCCACUUUUCUCAGAAAAUGGUCUAUUGUCACGACUGACUUCCAUAUUUCUUGGUUUUGCACCCACAUUCCUGCUUCUAUCUAUUGGGUAUCUAUGAUUUAUGUGAUAUAAUGCUCUUUUAACACUUUCAUGGGCACACACAAUUGCUAGAUGUACUAAUUCCUUUUUUUCCUCCUCUUUUGUGAAACCCAUUAAGAUAUGAAGCUGUCUUUUAUGGUGCACUUGCUCUUGUACUUAUGGCAUGGAUACUAUUUGAGAACACAAUUCUUCACUUAACUAAGGGGAAAAAAUUUUCAAAGCUUGAGGAACACACUACGUUAGAAAAUGAAAGGUGCCUACAGCUUUCUGAUAUGAGAAUUCCAUUAGUUUUUGUAAGUCUUAUCCAUUUUCCUCUUUUACUUUUUCUUUUUCUUCACCAUUCAUUGGUUAUAAGAAGUUACUGCAUGAAAACACUAGCCUUUAAUGCUAUGUUAAAAUAUUCUAACUGUGCAAGAAAGUGAAUGAUUAUAUUUGGUAUCAUCUAUGGUGUCUCUUUGGUAUUAUCUUUGAUGUUUUAUUCUUUCAGAUGGUUUUGUUUAAUGUUGCUUUCUUUGGAACGGGGAAUUUUGCAAGUAUUGCAAGUUUUGAGAUUUCAUCUGUCUAUCGAUUCAUCACCGUCUUCAGUCCUUUUUUGAUGGCAGCUCUUCUUAUUUUCAAGUUAUUCAUACCGUUCAUGCUUGUUAUAUGUGUUUUUAGUGCAAUAACCAAACUACUGCAAGUUCCACUGUUGGGAUUUUAUUUUCUGGUUAUAUUAUUUUCAGAUGUGAUGACUGUCCACUUCUUCUUCCUGGUAUGACUGCUGUUCAUAUGAUGUUCUUUAUCUAAUUUAGUUCUAAUCUUGUGGAUUUUCAUUUUGAAACUUAGCAAGUUACUUAUUGGCAACUUAUUGGGAUAUCUUAUAUGUAUAUGUCUGUCUGGGUGGUUAUGUGGCCUUAUUGGGAUGGGAAACAAUUGAUAUUGAUACAGAUAUUUUCCUCUUUGACUUUUUAAUGUCUGGCAGCAUGUUUAUAGCUUUUGAUUCAAUCAACUAGACGUGCAUAGCUGAACUUGAUUUGAAAUUGCAUAUUAUUUGCAUAAUCAGAAAGCAAUAGUCAGCAUUUUAUUUUGGAUUACAUGUUGAUCACCAAGAUUUUCUCUGAGGUUUAGCCGAGAAACACUUCAUUAACUGCUAGAGUUUCUGUAAGAAACUCAAACUACACCAAGUAGUGGGAGUGAUUCUGCUGAAAGAGGCAAUGUGGAAAAACUACCGAUGUUCUAAGCUUUUUCUUGGAAACUUAAUUUUACUUCUGAUGACAAACAGGUAAGAAAUACAGGAAGCUGGAUGGAAAUUGGUAACAGCAUCAGCCAUUUUGGUAUAGUGAGUGCUCAAGUUGUGUUUGUGCUAUUACUUUUUGCCCUCACAAAUGUUUACACAAAAGACAUCCGAAUUAGAUCAGAUAGCUUAUCCUCUAGGAAGGCAGUGUAAGUUACUUUGAAAUUGGCAUUUGUAAGCAUCAAAAUUAGCAGCCGCAUUCCCUUUUGAAGUGAUCUCUUGCAUUGUCAUGGAAAAGAUCUAAAAUCUGCUCCAUAUUCUUUUUUGAUCAUAUGAGACUGAUUGAGGUGUAAUUUUCAAGAUUAUGGAAUUCAAUUUUGCUAGAUGUUAACAUGUUUCUUGUUAACACUUGCCUAAAUCUCUGUAGGCAAGUUUUCACAUGUACUGCUCACAAGGCAGAAGGCAUUUUGAAUUUUGUUGGGAUUAUAUAUCAUAUCAAGAAAAUAGA